AGAGCGAACGCUGGCGGCAGGCUUAACACAUGCAAGUCGAGCGGGCGUAGCAAUACGUCAGCGGCAGACGGGUGAGUAACGCGUGGGAACGUACCUUUUGGUUCGGAACAACCCAGGGAAACUUGGGCUAAUACCGGAUAAGCCCUUACGGGGAAAGAUUUAUCGCCGAAAGAUCGGCCCGCGUCUGAUUAGCUAGUUGGUGAGGUAAUGGCUCACCAAGGCGACGAUCAGUAGCUGGUCUGAGAGGAUGAUCAGCCACAUUGGGACUGAGACACGGCCCAAACUCCUACGGGAGGCAGCAGUGGGGAAUAUUGGACAAUGGGCGCAAGCCUGAUCCAGCCAUGCCGCGUGAGUGAUGAAGGCCCUAGGGUUGUAAAGCUCUUUUGUGCGGGAAGAUAAUGACGGUACCGCAAGAAUAACGCCCGGCUAACUUCGCGACCAGCAGCCGC
RNAcentral lists this ribosomal RNA (449 nucleotides) under uncultured bacterium. RNAcentral's name for it is "SSU rRNA". It matches the Rfam family "Bacterial small subunit ribosomal RNA", at positions 26 to 518 of the family's 1533-position model. The record is from RNAcentral.